GACGAACGCUGGCGGCGUGCUUAACACAUGCAAGUCGAACGGUAAGGCUCCAGCUUGCUGGGGUACACGAGUGGCGAACGGGUGAGUAACACGUGGGUGACCUGCCCUGCACUUCGGGAUAAGCCUGGGAAACUGGGUCUAAUACCGGAUAGGACUGCACCGUGAGGGUGUGGUGGAAAGUUUUUUCGGUGUGGGAUGGGCCCGCGGCCUAUCAGCUUGUUGGUGGGGUAAUGGCCUACCAAGGCGGCGACGGGUAGCCGGCCUGAGAGGGUGGACGGCCACAUUGGGACUGAGACACGGCCCAGACUCCUACGGGAGGCAGCAGUGGGGAAUAUUGCACAAUGGGCGGAAGCCUGAUGCAGCGACGCCGCGUGGGGGAUGACGGCCUUCGGGUUGUAAACUCCUUUCACCAUCGACGAAGGGUUUCUGACGGUAGAUGGAGAAGAAGCACCGGCUAACUACGUGCCAGCAGCCGCGGUAAUACGUAGGGUGCGAGCGUUGUCCGGAAUUACUGGGCGUAAAGAGCUCGUAGGUGGUUUGUCGCGUCGUCUGUGAAAUUCCGGGGCUUAACUCCGGGCGUGCAGGCGAUACGGGCAUAACUUGAGUACUGUAGGGGAGACUGGAAUUCCUGGUGUAGCGGUGAAAUGCGCAGAUAUCAGGAGGAACACCGGUGGCGAAGGCGGGUCUCUGGGCAGUAACUGACGCUGAGGAGCGAAAGCAUGGGGAGCGAACAGGAUUAGAUACCCUGGUAGUCCAUGCCGUAAACGGUGGGCGCUAGGUGUGGGUUUCCUUCCACGGGAUCCGUGCCGUAGCUAACGCAUUAAGCGCCCCGCCUGGGGAGUACGGCCGCAAGGCUAAAACUCAAAGGAAUUGACGGGGGCCCGCACAAGCGGCGGAGCAUGUGGAUUAAUUCGAUGCAACGCGAAGAACCUUACCUGGGCUUGACAUAUACAGGAUCGCGCCAGAGAUGGUGUUUCCCUUGUGGCUUGUAUACAGGUGGUGCAUGGUUGUCGUCAGCUCGUGUCGUGAGAUGUUGGGUUAAGUCCCGCAACGAGCGCAACCCUUGUCUUAUGUUGCCAGCACGUUGUGGUGGGGACUCGUAAGAAACUGCCGGGGUUAACUCGGAGGAAGGUGGGGAUGACGUCAAAUCAUCAUGCCCCUUAUGUCCAGGGCUUCACACAUGCUACAAUGGUCGGUACAGUGGGUUGCCAGUCCGUGAGGGCGAGCUAAUCCCGCAAAGCCGGUCUCAGUUCGGAUCGGGGUCUGCAACCCGACCCCGUGAAGUCGGAGUCGCUAGUAAUCGCAGAUCAGCAACGCUGCGGUGAAUACGUUCCCGGGCC
This 1340-nucleotide ribosomal RNA is filed under the name uncultured bacterium. RNAcentral describes it as "partial 16S ribosomal RNA". It matches the Rfam family "Bacterial small subunit ribosomal RNA", at positions 28 to 1380 of the family's 1533-position model. The record is from RNAcentral.